UACGUAGGCAGCGAGCGUUGUUCGGAGUUACUGGGCGUAAAGCGUGCGUAGGCGGUGUCUUAAGUUUGUUGUGAAAUCUCCCGGCUUAACCGGGAGGGUGCGGCGAAUACUGAGAUGCUGGAGUGCCGGAGAGGUAAGCGGAAUUCCCGGUGUAGCAGUGAAAUGCGUAGAUAUCGGGAGGAACACCAGUGGCGAAGGCGGCCUUCUGGACCAGUACUGACGCUCAUGCACGAAAGCGUGGGGAGCAAACAGG
This 253-nucleotide ribosomal RNA is filed under the name uncultured bacterium. RNAcentral's name for it is "partial 16S ribosomal RNA". It matches the Rfam family "Bacterial small subunit ribosomal RNA", at positions 524 to 776 of the family's 1533-position model. The record is from RNAcentral.